CAGACCCUCCUACUUCCUGGACAGCAUCCAUGUUGAAAAAUAGUAUUUUUGCUUUUAUGGGAAACAUGGAUGCUGUCCAGGAAGUAGGAGGGUCU
This is a non-coding RNA of Pelobates cultripes (western spadefoot toad), 95 nucleotides long. The record is from the annotation of a GenBank genome assembly. Lineage: Eukaryota; Metazoa; Chordata; Amphibia; Anura; Pelobatidae.